RNAcentral lists this non-coding RNA (28 nucleotides) under Mus musculus (house mouse). The record is from RNAcentral. Lineage: Eukaryota; Metazoa; Chordata; Mammalia; Rodentia; Muridae.
CUGCUAGCUAGGAAUCCAGAGUAGAAAU